This 442-nucleotide ribosomal RNA is filed under the name uncultured bacterium. RNAcentral describes it as "partial 16S ribosomal RNA". It matches the Rfam family "Bacterial small subunit ribosomal RNA", at positions 338 to 795 of the family's 1533-position model. The record is from RNAcentral.
CCUACGGGUGGCAGCAGUGGGGAAUAUUGGGCAAUGGGCGCAAGCCUGACCCAGCAACGCCGCGUGAAGGAAGAAGGCUUUCGGGUUGUAAACUUCUUUUCUCAGGGACGAAGCAAGUGACGGUACCUGAGGAAUAAGCCACGGCUAACUACGUGCCAGCAGCCGCGGUAAUACGUAGGUGGCAAGCGUUAUCCGGAUUUAUUGGGUUUAAAGGGUGCGUAGGCGGUCCGUUAAGUCAGCGGUAAAAUUGCGGGGCUCAACCCCGUCGAGCCGUUGAAACUGGCAGACUUGAGUUGGCGAGAAGUACGCGGAAUGCGCGGUGUAGCGGUGAAAUGCAUAGAUAUCGCGCAGAACUCCGAUUGCGAAGGCAGCGUACCGGCGCCAGACUGACGCUGAGGCACGAAAGCGUGGGGAGCAAACAGGAUUAGAUACCCGUGUAGUC